Homo sapiens (human) is the source of this 2835-nucleotide long non-coding RNA. RefSeq lists it as uncharacterized. The transcript has 2 exons. The record is from RefSeq and is a predicted model, not a curated record. NCBI's taxonomy places the organism in Eukaryota, Metazoa, Chordata, Mammalia, Primates, Hominidae.
ACUGCUCUGAGUCCCGAUUUGUAUUCGCACUGGAGGCAGCUCAGACUCACCCCAUCUCCAAAGGGAAAAACCAAGUCUGCAUGUGGAGGCUGGAACCCCUAACAGAUACAUGUACCUGGCUGUGUUUUCCAAAGAUGGCUGCAACAAUAUCUGCCAUCUCACAUGCUUAUCUCAUGAUGUGACUUUGACACUCCUCCCAUCAAGCAGGCAAGGCUGCCAAAAUCACCAGCCCACCCAGAUUCAAGGGGAAGGAAUGCAGGCAUUAGGAAAUAAAGGAAGAUGCAGCUUCCUUCUGGCUCUCUUCGGACGCUCAUCCUUGGGAUCAGCCACUGUGUUACGAGAAUGUCCAAACUAGCCCAUGCAGAGAGAUCACUCGUAGGACUUCCUGCUGACAACCAACCUGACAGCCAGCAUCAACCACCAUGUGAUGUGAGCAUGUGAGCGACGCUGCUGCAGACAAUUCCAGCCCCCGGUCAUUGAGUAACCACUAGCCUUGAAGUCUUUCCAGCCGAGGCCCAGAUACCACAGAGUAGAGCUCAGCCAUCCUCUCCUGUGCCCUGUCCUGACCCGCGGAAUGCACGAUAGUUAUUAUACAUCUCUGCACUCUGGGAUGUUUUGUUACAUAGCAAUAGCAACUGCAACAAUUGCAGUGAAGCCUUGUUCUGUAUGUGUGGCUCCAUACCCUGCAGACAGCAUUUGCUGGAUUUAAGUGACCAGAAAAUUGGGCCCAGCCACUCCACCUCCCAGUGAGAGCCCCACAGGCGGGUAGAUGUGAGCUUUAAGGGAGCAGGGACUUACUUGGCUGUCAUAUUCCCUGCUGGCUUCUCGUGGCCUAAAACACCCUUGGGGAGGGGGGGCAGUCAGAUAUUUGUUGAGACAAAGAAGGAAAAGGAGUCUCCGAUGAACUUGGGUGAGGUAUUCAAUAGAACUUUCCCCUGGACAAAUGAAUUAACAGCAUUCACAGCAACCUGGAUGAGAUUAGAGACUAUUAUUCUGAGUGAAGUAACUCAGAAAUGGAAAACCAAGCAUCGUAUGUUCUCACUGAUACGUGGGAGCUAAGCUAUGAGGACGCAAAAGCAUAAGAAUGAUACAAUGGGCCGGGUGCGGUGGCUCAUGCCUGUAAUCCCGGCACUCUGGGAGGCCGAGGUGGGCGGAUCACGAGGUCAGGAGAUCGAGACCGUCCUGGCUGACACAGUGAAACCCCGUCUCUACUAAAAAUACAAAAAAUUAGCUGGGCGUGGUUGCAGGCGCCUGUAGUCCCAGCUACUCGGGGGGCUGAGGCAAGAGAAUGGCCUGAACCUGGGAGGCGGAGCUUGCAGUGAGCCCAGAUCGCACCACUGCACUCCAGCCUGGGCGACGACAGAGCAAGACUCCGUCUAAAAAAAAGAAUGAUACAAUGGAUUUUGGGGACUUGGGGGGAAGGGUGAGGGGGCAAGGGAUAAAAGACUACAAAUAGGGUGCAGUGUAUACUGCUUGGGUGAUGGGUACACCAAAAUCUCACAAAUCAGCACUAAAGAACUUAUGUAACCAAGUACCACCUGUACCCCAAUAACCUAUGGAAAAAUUUUUUAAAAUUUUAAUUUUUUUUAAAAAAAGAACUUUCCCCUGGACAGAAAGGGCAGUCAGAUCCCAAGCCACAUAAGCAUAGGCAGGGGAUAUAGCUUCCUCCGGGUUGGGAAGGAUCUGGAAGAGUGUGAAAUGGACAAGGCAGGAAGUGGAUUUGAUGAGUUCUUGGUCUAUCAUGCACCCUCCCCACCCCGUGCCUGCCUUCUCAGUCUGCCCCCAACAUGAAAAGUGCCACAAGGGCAUCACACCAGACUGGUGGUCAACCCACGUGUCUCCAGGCCUGGCCCAGCCACCAGCUUUCUGGGUGGCCCUGGGUAUGUCCUGCCCUUCUUGGGGCUCUGUCUCCCCUAUCUCAGAGCGGGAUGGUAAAAGCCCAGGUCCUUCCAGCUGUGCCACCCCUGGAGUCUCCAAGAAACCCCAGCUAGCCCUUCCCACCUCCCAGUCUGCAGCCCGAGUAGGGCAAGAGCCAUCUGAGAGUCCCUCGCACCAAACUGAGGCUGGGCUGGUAAGGGUGGAACACGAAUGCCUCAGCCAGCACCUCCCUCCGCAGGCCCCUCCACAGCUGGUAGGAUGGGCAGCAAAUUGUAAAUUUGUUUUCCUUCCUCAAAUGAUGGGAAUUGAUUAGCUUAGCAAGGAGCUCCAGCUGCUCCGUGGAAAGGAACCAAGGUGGUUCCUGUAGUAGCUGUCAUUGAUUCAGACAAAGCCCGGAGUAGGACUAGGAGGACUGUGGCCAUGGGGGUGGAGUGAGGUGGGGUAGAGUAGGGGCUGUGAUCAGGCCUUUCUGGGCCCUGGGAAUGUUCUUCUCAGUGACCAAUGCCCUUUCUCUCUGCCUCUGUCUCUGUCUCUCUCUCACACAUACAGGCACACUCAGAGGUAGUCAAAAAUUAAACUCUGGGCCUUGCCGGGGCCCAUGAAUCAAGGUGGAUGCAUAUCCACGAAACCAACCAUCCUCCUCUUGGGAAAGGCAACCGAGGCAGCUGCUUAAAAGAGAACAGGCCCUAGGGAGCCUCAUAAGGAAAGACUUCACCCACUUUCAAGCCCAGGCUUGUGGAAAUCCAAAGCCAUAUCUGCAGUCAAAUCCCAGCUUUAUAACAGAAAAAAAAAACGCACAUCUAUAUGCAUUUAAAAACCCAUUAAUAGCAGUAACCUGUUUGGGAGGAUUAUGGGUGAUUUUUAUUUUCUCCUUUGUACUUGUCUGUUUCUAAUUUUUCUGCAAUGAUCAGGUAUAUCCUUACUUUUAGAAUCAGAAAUAAAUGUUAUUUAAAAAUA